Molecule: long non-coding RNA, 7690 nt
Filed under: Medicago truncatula (barrel medic)
Lineage: Eukaryota; Viridiplantae; Streptophyta; Magnoliopsida; Fabales; Fabaceae
Description: long non-coding RNA (MTRU_LNC003003)
Source: RNAcentral
UUCACAAUUUGGAAGAAACCAAAUUCUUCACAAGCCUUUGAAAUCUUGUGAAUCACUUCCAAGGAUGAAGGGUUGUUGCCAUCACAAUAACUUAGAUCAAUUAUGGGAAUUGAGUCUAAAUAUUUAACCUCUGAAAGGUGUGGUCUUUUGUGUUCUGGGAGGAUAAAAUUAGGAGUUAAGGAAAGGGGAGAAGAUUCAUUGGCUAAUUGGAAAGACUCCAUCUUGUGUAAGAAAAUUUGAGAUUGAAGGAAAUUGAACAAACAAAAAAUAUAUAUGACAUGUAAUUAAACCUAUUCUUUUUUUAUUAACAGUGUGCACAUUUUUACUAACAGAUUAAUGAUUAAGUAUUAAGUAUUAAUAUUGUUAUUGAUUGAUUACUGGUCUUGAUUAAAUUACAUAUGCUAUUGACCAAAUUUAUAUAUCAUUUGCUUAUGAAAGAUUGUAUCAAUUAUAAUAAUGUUUAAAAAGUAUUUUUAUAAACAUAGUCAACGAGAAGAAAACAACUAGGUUAAGUAAAAUGCAAGACACAACCACCAGCCAACCAGAAUUGACCAGAAGGAAAGUAGACUUUUCACUCUUUCCAGUCUUAUUUAUUUAUUUAUUUUAUGUUUGUGAUAACUAAGUUAGUUAUUUAAAUUUGGUGGGAGGUUAAAAAAAGUUUCAAUGUAAAUAUAAAACGCAAUCGACCAUUAACAACUGAAUCUGCUAGUUAAAAAGGGUUCCCAAUUCUUGUAAUAUUCUAAUCAAGUUUUCAAUUCAACAGUUAUGCAAAUAGCUGCUACUCAAGCAUCCUAAUCAUGUUUGAGGUUGAUAACCCCUAUUAUUUUGAAAAGGAUUAUAAGCACAAACCAUUACUUUUAUCUAUUAAUUCAUCUCUUUCUUAAAGUGCAAGUAGGAGGUGAGGUGGCAUCAGGCACCAAUAUGACAGAAACACACAUGUCUAUUCUUAAUAAAUCCCUAAAAUGCAUAUGAAAGUUAUGUGAGCCAAGUUCAUUUUCUCAGUUUGAGAAUUUCCAAAUUACAAACAUAUAAUGUUGAUUGUCAAAUGAAAACCAAAGCAGCUACCAAAUAACAAGGCACAUUUAGAUAAAUGCAAUACACUAUUGUGAUCAUCACAGUAAUGGAGGAAGAAUCAAAACCGCACUAAUUUUCGAAAAGCAGUUUGUAACCAUCUGGAUUGUGAUUUGUGUUGUGAAUGUAUUCAUAUAUACUUCACACAUGUUCCAAAUGCAGACCACUAUUAACUGUUCAGCGUUAGCAAAAAUCAUUUGACUCUCCAUUCCAUAGCUAAAAUGUAAACUCCCAUCAACAUGAAAGCAAUAAGCCAAAACAACUAAAAUUUAUCUUCAAGGAGCAUCAAUUGCAAAGUAAAAAGACUAAAAUAAUUUGAAUAGACAUGUAUGUUUCUGUCAUAUUAAUCGUUUCCAAAAAAAGUAUCAGCUCAGUUUUUUUGUAGACUUAACGUCCAAAACUAAAGUCACGGGCCACAAUGACUAUCAGAUUUAUGUUUGAAUAGACAAAAUAAAGUUUGAGGCUAUUUUAUGUUUUCUCUUGAGCCAGAGACUAGUCUGGCAGAGAGGUACAUAUUAGCCAAAGAGUCGUCUGCCCUAUUUAUUUAUUUUCUAACGUGGCAACUCAAAGGUUUCUUUCACGAUCCUCCUUGUUCCUUUAUGGUUGAAGACUUCUUCAAGAAACUUAGAGAAACGAUAACUUCUGUACUUGGGAGGGUGUUCAUCAUCUAUUAAUUCAUGAAUUGGCUCAAUUAUUGUCUCUGGGUUUGGCCCGAAAAACAUUGCCAUCGACAUUCGUGGAUGCACAUUAUUUGUGGCAGCUCUGUGAAUUACACUUUUGUAUCUUCCAUUGCUUAGAACCUGCAUAUAAUGUUAAAAAAUUACAUUUCACACUUUCUAUUUGUUUCACGUUAUCUCUCAAAUUUCUAUAAAUUUUUACAGUUAUUUAAAUAGACCAGGGCUACUAAAUGAAUCAUCUGAGUUUAAGAACUGUGUACCAAAAGUGUUAAGCGAUUUAACAAUCAUCCAAUUAUAUUUUACACAGAUGUCAAUUUGCUAUUGUUUAAGAUAUUACCCAAAAGUGUAGAUGCGAAUGUGUUGAAAAAAUGUGAGUUUUUCUUUUGACAGUAACAAGCUUACUUCUUUUCCAACACAAAAUGUUUGAACUAGAGGAUAGGCUCAAAUCAAGGAUUUUGGGACUAGCUUAAAGCUUUGAUGCCCUUACAAGGGUAUGAGCAACAAAAUUUGAUUGUUGCCUAAAAAAACUAAUCCUAUAAUUUUGUGGGACUUGAUUAUAGAGUUGAACAUUAGAGAAAGUGUUGGUAUAUCUAGGAUUUAUGACUUGGUUGACCAAUGACACAUACCUCAAUUUGAUCAGCUAAAUUGAUGACAAAAGCAUUGGGAAUACAAGGAACAGAAAUCCAUUUUCCAUCUUUGUUAACUUGAAGACCAGAUACUUCUGAUUGCAAUAGGACUGUGAUAGCAUUGAGAUCAGUAUGUUCAAGCAGUCCCAUGGUCAAUUCUGGAUCAGGACAUGGUGGAUAGAAAUUUGCUUGUGCUCUUUGUCUAGGCUGCUCACCCAACUUCUUCAACAAACAGUCCUCCUCUAAGCCAAGCCCUAUUGAUAUCAAACUCAAAAGCCUUCUCACCAAUGAACCAACCUCCUUUGCAUAUUCGGUGAAAGCCUCUCUGUGAAAAGCAAAAGUAUUAGUGCGUGUUUGGUUAUGCGGUGCAAAAUUGAUUUUGAAUGAAUGUAUUUUAAUUGAUUCUAAUUAAAUAUGAGCUAAAUGUAAAAUGAUUUAUGUUUGGAUAUGUUUAUACAAAAUUGAGUGUUCUUUUUAAAGUAAAAUAUAGUUAUAAGCGAGUAGAACUAACAAAUUCAAUCUCUAAAAUCAAUUAUAGUGACUAACAAAUUCAAAGUGAGUGGAUACAUCUAAACACGUCAAAAUCAAUGGUAUACUUCUAUAAUCAAUUUUAGAUUCUUCAAAAAUAAAAUCAAGCGUAGACUAAAUAUACUAGCAUCAGAUCAACUAUUUCUAAAAAAUGUCCGUGACCGCGAACACCGUUGAGAUUGUGCCAACCACAUUUGAUUGUGAUUCUCCGCAAAAUCAAAGGAUGUGAUGCACUCUAUUGGUCACAUUGACAGCAUCUAGUUUAUCAUUUUGUUGAACUAAAUUUAUAAUUUUCCUCACCUGUAUUGAUUCCCAAUUUUUUCUGGUAAAAGCUGAAUGAUAUCAUCAAUAGGAUACCAUUGAUGAGCAAAACAUUCACUCCAUAACUUCACCUUUUCUUCACCUUCAACUUGAAGGUAAUAAUUGAUCAACCUUACAUUCUUGGUAGGAUCUGUUGAGGACAGAUGUUCUCUUUCUUCUGGUGGCAACUCAAAAAGACUUGAAAUUGCUUUCAUCAUUUUAGUGCAAACUUUGUUAGGGACACCAUGGUUCACAAUUUGGAAGAAACCAAAUUCCUCACAAGCCUUUGAAAUCUUGUGAACCACUUCCAUGGAUGAAGGGUUUUUGUCAUCAUAGUGACUUAAAUCAAUUAUUGGUAUUGAGUCUAAAAAAGUAACCUCUGAAAGGCGUGGUCUUUUGUGUUUUGGAAGGAUAAAAUCUUGAGUUAAGGAAAGUGGAGAAGACUCAUUGGCUAAUUGGAAAGACUUCAUCUUGUGUAGGAAAAUUUGGAGAUUGAAGGGAACUGAACAAACAAAGGGAAUAUUGUAUACUCACUAAAAAUUUACAUAUUAUUUGCAUAAGUAUAUAAUACUAAUUGCUCUAAAAAAAAAAAAGUAUAUAAUACUAAUUAUAUACUAAUUAUUUACACAAUAUGUAUAUUUUUACAUAUUAUUUGCAUAAGUAUAUAAUACUAAUUAUUUACACAAUCAACAAUUUACAACCAAAUCUACUAGUUCCUACAAAAAUUUAAACUGAAUCUAGUUAGAAAAAUUGAGAAUGAUAAUUAACACAUGGGAAUCUUUUGCUUCAGCGAUGAUAAUUAACGACGGGCAACGGUCAUCUAGACAAGUUAGCGUGUGGACGAUUAAAACGAAGGGUAAUAGUCAUCUUGAUUGGAAGGAGUAGCCACAAUAGUCUCUGAAUAUAUCAAAUUUUUAAAAUAUCCGUUAAUUAUUAUACAUUCUGUUAAUCAAAAUGAACAUUUGCAUUAAAAGGUUCGUUAAUAUCGUCAUAUCAGUCGUUCAAUAUCUCACUUAUUGUAGUUUCAAUACCUAUAAAUAUUUACUUUUUUUUGAGGGACAAUAAAUAUUUACUUAUUAUCAUAUCAUAUAAAAGAGAGUUAUUAUUUUGACUAACCAAUACAUAAGUAAAAAACUUUUAAAUUUUUUGAUAUAUUGAAGCUCAUCAAAUUGAUCACAGCGAAAAGGAGAUCUCUGCUCAACGUAUCCGGUCAAGGUACAACCCCGCAUACCUCCACUAGCCUUUUAAGCAAUCAUUUUUGUCAAAAAUAAGUCCCUGUUCAUCGAUAUACCUUUCAUAGGCGAUUGGGGCUCAACUGGAAAAUUGUUGUUCACACAUUAAAGAAAGUUAAAACAUACUAGGAAAAUUACUGAGCCAUUAAAUCGAUGAUUUUCUGGUGUUUCUUAGCUUUCCUUAGAGCGGGAACAACAAUUUUCCAACAUAUAUCAUCAAUUCAAUCCAAUAAUAGUAGAUAUAUUAUUAAAAAUCCAACAUAAUUUGGAUUUAAUUUCUAUACAAUCAUAGUGCAAAAUAAUUUUACAUAUAUAUUCAAGUAAUUUUAGAAAAUUUAUAACAUUUAAAUGGUUAGAUUUGUGUAAAACGUAUUUGCACCAUCAAUACAUACAAUUUAAAUUACAUUAUUUAAAUUAUAAUGUGGCAAGUCAAAGACUUAAUUCAACAUACUCUUUGUUCCGUGGCAGUAGAAUUCUUCAACGAAAUCAGAAAAGCGAUAAUUUCUAUACUUUUGAGGGUGUUCUUCAUCUAUCAAUUCCUGAAUAGGACCAAUUAUCGUGUCCGAGUUUGGCCCAUAAAACAUUGCCAUGGACAUUCGUGAAUGCACCUUGUUGGUUACAGCUCUGUGGAGUACACUUUUGUAUCUUCCAUUGCUUAGAACCUACAUAUAAAGUAUAAAAAUAAUUACAUUUCACACUUUUUGUUUUUGUUUCACGUUACCUCUCAAAUUUAUUAAAAGCUUAUAUUGUUAUUUAAAAGAUUAAAUAUAUUUUUGGUCCUUAUAAAUAUAUAAACUUUUUAUUUUAUUUAAAAAACUUCUUCAACUUUUCGACGUUAUAGAAGUUUUUGCUCCUAUGGCUAGAUGGGAUACAAUAAGAGCUAUGCUAGCUGUUGCAGCAUGCAAAGGAUGAAAUGUUUAUCAGCUAGAUGUUAAAAGUGUUUUUCUUCAUGCAGAGCUGGUUGAAGAUAUGUAUGUGGAGCUACCUUUAGGUUAUCAGAAUGAUGAUACAAGCGAGGUAUGCAAACUAAAGAAAGCUAUGUAUGGUAUGAGACGUACACUAAGACAUAAUCUUACUUUAUUCAAGAAAAAUUUAUGAAAUGCUCUCAUGAACACACCUUAUUUGUUAAGAAUGAAUCUGGAGGGAAACUGUUAAUUGUUAGCCGGUAUAUGGAUGAUCUCAUAUAUACUGAAAAUGAUGUUACUGUGUUUGAAACUUUCAAGCAUUCUAUAAAGGGAAAGUUUGCUAUGACAGAUUUGGGAAAUAUGAGAUAUUUUCUUGGAGUAGAAGUUAAGCAAGAUGAUCAAGGAAUUUUCAUCGGUCAAAGCAAGUAUGCUACUAAAAUAUUGACAAGGCUUGGUAUGGAAAAUUGCAAUAUGGUGUAUAGCCCUAUAGUCAUUGGUAGAAAACUAGUGAAGGAUGAAACUGAGAAGGCUGUGGAUGCAAUCAAGUAUAAGCAGAUGGUUGGAUGCUUGAUGUAAUUACUUGCUACAAGACAUGAUCUUACAUAUUCAGUCUGUCUAAUAUUGCUAGGUAAAUGGAAAGACCUACAUAUAAAUGCAUUUAUCAUCUGUAAAGAGAAUUUUAAGAUACUUGAAAGGAAUUGUCAAUUUUGAAGUUCUGUACAAAAGUAAAGAGAACGUUAGCUUGACUCGAUGGUCUGACUCAGAUAAUACAGGAGAUACAUAUGACAGAAAAGAGCACUUCAUGGUAUGUGUACAUGGUGGGAAAUGGAGCUAUAUCCUGGUCAUCUAUGAAGAAGCCAAUUGUGACUCUUUCUACUACUGAAGCUGAAUUUGUUGCAGCAGCUUCUUGCUCAUGUUAGGGCAUUUGGUUAAGAAGGAUAACGAGCCAUAUAGGAGAGGGUCAAGAGAUCGAGCACAGCUGUGUAUUGUGAUAAUAGUUCCUCUAUAAAGUUGUCUACGAACCCUGUGAUGCAUGUAAGAUGCAAGCACAUAGAUGUGAGAUUUCAUUUUCUUGAAGACUUGACUAAAGAUGGAGUAAUUGAAUUGAUGCACUACAGUUCACAAGAUCAAGUGACAUAUAUCAUGCUAAAGCCUUUGAAACUGAAAACUUUGUUGAAGGCUGGAAUGUCCAUUAGGGUUGAAAUUAAAUUUAUUUUAGGGACAGUUGUAUAAGGCCAUUAUUGCCACUAAAUAGUAAUAUAACAAAAAAUAUAUCAUUGAUUUAAUUUUCUAUCAAAACAUGUGAAAAUGUAUAGAAAAAACACACCAAAGGCACAUACCUCAAUUUGAUCAGCUAGAUUGAUGACAAAAGCAUUGGGAAUACAAGGAAUAGAAAUCCAUUUUCCAUCUUUGUUAACUUGAAGACCAGAAACUUCUGAUUGCAAUAGGACUGUGAGAGCAUUGAUAUCAGUAUGUUCAGUGAGACCCAUAGUCAACUCUGGAUUUGAACAUGGUGGAUAGAAAUUUGCCUGUGCUCUUUGUCUAGGUUGCUCACCCAACUUCUUCAACAAGAAAUCUUCCUCUAAGCCAAGCCCAAUUGAUAUCAAACUCAAAAGCCUUCUCACCAAUGAACUAAUCUCCUUUGCAUAUUCGGUGAAAGCCUCCCUAAGAAAAGCAUAAGUAUAAAUAUGUAUUUGGUUUUGCCGUUUUAUAUCAUUCCAAUUAUACCAUUAAACAUGAUUUUCUAUAAUAACAAUGUUAUUUGGUAUACUUAUAAUUUUAAUCAAAUUCAAAUUCAAAAUUUUAUUUAAAAUAUCGUUUAUAAUUCGUAUACGUUAGCGCAAUAAAAAAAACAAACGUGAUUUUUCUCACCUGUAUUGGGUCCCAAUAUUUUCUGGUAGAAGAGAAAUGAUAUCAUCCAUAGGAUACCAUGGAUGAACAAAAUUUUCACUCCACAACUUCACCGUUUCUCCACCAUCUACUCGAAGUAAAUAAUUGACCAAUCUUACAUUCUUGGUAUGAUCUGUUGAUGAAAGAUGUUUUCUUUCCUCUGGUGCCAACUCAAAGAAGUUUGUAAUUGCUUUCAUCAUUUUAGUGCAAACUUGGUCAGGAACACCAUGGUUCACAAUUUGGAAGAAACCAAAUUCCUCACAUGCCUUUGAAAUCUUGUGAACCACAUCCAAGUGACUUAAAUCAAUUAUUGGUAUAGAGUCUGAAAAAGUAACCUCUGAAAGGUGUGGUCUUUUGUGUUCUGGGAGGAUAAAAUCUGGAGUUAAGGAAACUGGAGAAGACUCAUUGGCAAAUUGGAAAGAUUUCAUCUUGUAAGAAAAUUUGAGAAUGAAGUUCAGUCA